Molecule: long non-coding RNA, 836 nt
Filed under: Ananas comosus (pineapple)
Lineage: Eukaryota; Viridiplantae; Streptophyta; Magnoliopsida; Poales; Bromeliaceae
Description: long non-coding RNA (ACOM_LNC024845)
Source: RNAcentral
UAGGGGGAUCGGAGGCGAGGAAGGUGGGGGGGCCGGCGGCGACGCCGCUCUGUCUUCGCCGCUCUAUGGGAAGAGAAAGAAAAAAAAGAACGAGAGAAAAAAAAAGAAAAGAAAAAGGUAUAAGGGCACCUCCGCUCCGUUUUUGCCGCUCUCUGGGAAGAAAAAGAAAAAAGAACGAGAGAAAAAAAAGGAGAGAGAAAGAGGAAAGAGAAAAAUGUAUAAGGGUAUUUUGGUCAGUUUGCUGAAAAAGCGGACCGAAUCUGCAAAAGCCAAAAAGAUGACCCGAUUUUGCAAAAGCCCAAAAUAAGUGAAUUUUUUAUGCAAAUUGGCCAAAUAAUUUAUUGUUCAGAUAAACUUUUUUUUUUUCUUAGCUUUAAAUUGACAUCUCGCACGCUGUUUAUUGAGCCUGAUGGUCGUUGUGUGGGGACGUUCUCCCCUAACGAAACACAACGAAUUUAAGUACUAUUUUUAGAAACGUGUGUUAUUACUACAAAAAUCGUGCAAAAAAUUAAUUGUACGGGCCAUGAUAAAUGGAUAGUUGUUGGAUUGAUGUGAUUGGACAGGUAAAAUUUGUACUACGGCUUAGUUUGGUAUUGAGACCUAUCUAACGCUAUUUGAUAAAAUGGAGUUGAGAAAAAAGCAUAUAGGGAUAUUUUCUGCGUUCUCCGAUGGGACCGCAGAAAAUAUAUUGUAACCGACUCAUCUCGAUAUGCGGAACGCAAUAUUACGUAUGGAAAAAAAAAUGGUAUUUUUCCAACGUACUUUCUCACCGCACGUAACGCAAUCUUUCUACAAUCCUAAGCCUACAUAAUUAUGAAAUGGCUGCGAACUUAGGA